GACGAACGCUGGCGGCGUGCCUAAUACAUGCAAGUCGAACGCACUCUCGUUUAGAUUGAAGGAGCUUGCUCCUGAUUGAUAAACAUUUGAGUGAGUGGCGGACGGGUGAGUAACACGUGGGUAACCUGCCCUAAAGUGGGGGAUAACAUUUGGAAACAGAUGCUAAUACCGCAUAAAACCUARCAYCGCAUGGUGYAGGGUUGAAAGAUGGUUUCGGCUAUCACUUUAGGAUGGACCCGCGGUGCAUUAGUUAGUUGGUGAGGUAAAGGCUCACCAAGACCGUGAUGCAUAGCCGACCUGAGAGGGUAAUCGGCCACACUGGGACUGAGACACGGCCCAGACUCCUACGGGAGGCAGCAGUAGGGAAUCUUCCACAAUGGACGAAAGUCUGAUGGAGCAACGCCGCGUGAGUGAAGAAGGUUUUCGGAUCGUAAAACUCUGUUGUUGGAGAAGAAUGUAUCUGAUAGUAACUGAUCAGGUAGUGACGGUAUCCAACCAGAAAGCCACGGCUAACUACGUGCCAGCAGCCGCGGUAAUACGUAGGUGGCAAGCGUUGUCCGGAUUUAUUGGGCGUAAAGCGAGCGCAGGCGGUUUCUUAAGUCUGAUGUGAAAGCCUUCGGCUCAACCGAAGAAGUGCAUCGGAAACUGGGAAACUUGAGUGCAGAAGAGGACAGUGGAACUCCAUGUGUAGCGGUGAAAUGCGUAGAUAUAUGGAAGAACACCAGUGGCGAAGGCGGCUGUCUGGUCUGUAACUGACGCUGAGGCUCGAAAGCAUGGGUAGCAAACAGGAUUAGAUACCCUGGU
This 804-nucleotide ribosomal RNA is filed under the name Latilactobacillus sakei. RNAcentral's name for it is "bacterial SSU rRNA". It matches the Rfam family "Bacterial small subunit ribosomal RNA", at positions 28 to 791 of the family's 1533-position model. The record is from RNAcentral. Lineage: Bacteria; Bacillati; Bacillota; Bacilli; Lactobacillales; Lactobacillaceae.